RNAcentral lists this long non-coding RNA (455 nucleotides) under Solanum tuberosum (potato). RNAcentral's name for it is "long non-coding RNA (STUB_LNC010582)". The record is from RNAcentral. Lineage: Eukaryota; Viridiplantae; Streptophyta; Magnoliopsida; Solanales; Solanaceae.
AAGAUCAAGAACAAAGGCAAAUACCAAGACAUUCAAGAUCAAGUUACUUGUUUAUACUCAUUAUUCGUCAUAACCAUACAAGUGCCCGUGACGAAUAAUUCAAAUCCAAGUUUGAAGACUAAGAUUCAAGAUCAAGCUAUUCAAGCCCUUGACUCUAAAUCAAAUUCAAGUCCUACAUAUUUCAUAUUAUUUUGAAGAAUCAAAGGAUUAUCAUAGAUAUUGUAACACGUACUACAUUUUGAAAUCAAAUACUACACUUUGUUACUCCAAUUUUCUUGUUUUGAUUAUUUAUUUUUCUCAGCUCGAAAAUUUGUUGUUUACAGAAUUAUAUUAGGAUACACUUUAUUUACUAAAAUAUUGACAUUUUGACAAUUAUGUUAAAGUGAAGAUGUUUUUAAUAAUUAUGUUAGAAAUUUUGACUAGUAAGCUAAUUUAUCCUUUUAUUAGAAAUGGAU